This 18-nucleotide unclassified non-coding RNA is filed under the name Mus musculus (house mouse). Its description in RNAcentral is "oocyte_clustered_small_RNA13422". Lineage: Eukaryota; Metazoa; Chordata; Mammalia; Rodentia; Muridae. The record is from RNAcentral.
CGCGCUCCGCCGCAGGCC